This 304-nucleotide unclassified non-coding RNA is filed under the name plant metagenome. RNAcentral's name for it is "partial contains 5.8S ribosomal RNA, internal transcribed spacer 2, and large subunit ribosomal RNA". The stretch from base 1 to 105 matches the Rfam family "5.8S ribosomal RNA", at positions 50 to 154 of the family's 154-position model. The record is from RNAcentral.
AAGCUGCGAUAAGUAGUGUGAAUUGCAGAAUUCAGUGAAUCAUCUAAUCUUUGAACGCACAUUGCGCCCCUUGGUAUUCCAUGGGGCAUGCCUGUUCGAGCGUCAUUUGUACCUUCAAGCUUUGCUUGGUGUUGGGUGUUUGUCUCGCCUCUGCGUGUAGACUCGCCUCAAAACAAUUGGCAGCCGGCGUAUUGAUUUCGGAGCGCAGUACAUCUCGCGCUUUGCACUCAUAACGACGACGUCCAAAAGUACAUUUUUACACUCUUGACCUCGGAUCAGGUAGGGAUACCCGCUGAACUUAAGC